RNAcentral lists this ribosomal RNA (253 nucleotides) under uncultured bacterium. RNAcentral's name for it is "partial 16S ribosomal RNA". It matches the Rfam family "Bacterial small subunit ribosomal RNA", at positions 524 to 776 of the family's 1533-position model. The record is from RNAcentral.
UACAGAGGGUGCAAGCGUUAUUCGGAAUUACUGGGCGUAAAGCGCGCGUAGGUGGUUUGUUAAGUUGGAUGUGAAAUCCCCGGGCUCAACCUGGGAACUGCAUUCAAAACUGACUGACUAGAGUAUGGUAGAGGGUGGUGGAAUUUCCUGUGUAGCGGUGAAAUGCGUAGAUAUAGGAAGGAACACCAGUGGCGAAGGCGACCACCUGGACUGAUACUGACACUGAGGUGCGAAAGCGUGGGGAGCAAACAGG